RNAcentral lists this ribosomal RNA (27 nucleotides) under Rhodotorula sp. SY-71. RNAcentral's name for it is "partial 26S rRNA". RNAcentral also lists the same sequence under 2 other names. Lineage: Eukaryota; Fungi; Basidiomycota; Microbotryomycetes; Sporidiobolales; Sporidiobolaceae. The record is from RNAcentral.
UAGAUCUCCAAUCAGGCAGGAUUACCC